AACCAUAGAAACCUGCGGAGUACCUGCGGAAGGAUCAUUACCGAGUUUCCAAAACUCCCAACCCAUGUGAACUUACCUCUCGUUGCCUCGGCGGGAUCGCCCCGGGUGCCCCAGGCCCCGGACCCAGGCGCCCGCCGCAGGACCCCAAACUCUUGUUUAGUGGAAGCUUCUUCUGAGUGAGAAAACAAAUAAAUCAAAACUUUUAACAACGGAUCU
Molecule: unclassified non-coding RNA, 216 nt
Filed under: soil metagenome
Description: partial contains 5.8S ribosomal RNA, internal transcribed spacer 2, and large subunit ribosomal RNA
Source: RNAcentral